UCCCUGAAGGUCUGGUGGUUAAGACACUGCACUUCCAAAGCAGGGGGCAUGGGUUUGAUCCCUGGUUGGAGAA
This 73-nucleotide transfer RNA is filed under the name Bos taurus (domestic cattle). It matches the Rfam family "tRNA". From Rfam's summary of the family: Transfer RNA (tRNA) molecules are approximately 80 nucleotides in length. RNAcentral also lists the same sequence under 4 other names. Lineage: Eukaryota; Metazoa; Chordata; Mammalia; Artiodactyla; Bovidae. The record is from Rfam by way of RNAcentral.